CGUCAUAUGUAUUUAGAUUUAUUUUGGAGUAUAUUUAUUAGCAUUGUUUUUGUGAUUUAUUAUAUUCCGUAUUCCAUGAUUUGUAAGGUUCAUAGUCGGGGUAAUUGCAAUGCUCUUUACUGGAAAGCUGUUUCGAAAUGACCUUUUACAAUAUUUGGGAAUAUUAUUAGACGCAUAAGAACGGUUUGCUGAUAUCCGAUAACAUAUAGAAUUUAAUAUUAUGGCAACACAUAGUCUCAGGCACACAACCUAUACUUCGAACGUAUGUAGAACUCAAGAGUAAGAAACCAAAAGAAACUCAGGAAUCGGGAAUCAGGAAGGGAACAAACCAAAGUUAUAAGCACUGAUAUUUUAUUUGGAAAAACAAGAUCUUUUGAAAAGGGCUGAAGGAUGUAGAAGUACCAUUGACAGACUCCCUCAACGGAUGAGACCCCGCCCUAUGAAUCGAGGCCACACAACCCAAACAACUUUGCUUGCAAAAAUGUUUACUAAAUAAAGAGACAAAUAAAUAUGUUUAGAAAAUGUUUCGAAAUCUACAAGCAAAACUGAAUAAAUGUUGAAUAUCUAA
Long non-coding RNA from Drosophila pseudoobscura, 568 nucleotides. RefSeq lists it as uncharacterized. The transcript is spliced from 2 exons. The record is from RefSeq and is a predicted model, not a curated record. Lineage: Eukaryota; Metazoa; Arthropoda; Insecta; Diptera; Drosophilidae.